RNAcentral lists this ribosomal RNA (253 nucleotides) under uncultured bacterium. RNAcentral's name for it is "partial 16S ribosomal RNA". It matches the Rfam family "Bacterial small subunit ribosomal RNA", at positions 524 to 776 of the family's 1533-position model. The record is from RNAcentral.
UACGGAGGGUGCAAGCGUUAUCCGGAUUCACUGGGUUUAAAGGGUGUGUAGGCGGGUAUUUAAGUCAGUGGUGAAAUCUCUGGGCUCAACUCAGAAACUGCCAUUGAUACUAUUUAUCUUGAAUAUCGUUGAGGUUGGCGGAAUAUAUCAUGUAGCGGUGAAAUGCAUAGAUAUGAUAUAGAACACCGAUUGCGAAGGCAGCUAACUAAGCGAUGAUUGACGCUGAGGCACGAAAGCGUGGGGAUCAAACAGG